Molecule: ribosomal RNA, 253 nt
Filed under: uncultured bacterium
Lineage: Bacteria
Description: partial 16S ribosomal RNA
Rfam family: Bacterial small subunit ribosomal RNA
Source: RNAcentral
UACAGAGGGUGCAAGCGUUAAUCGGAGUUACUGGGCGUAAAGGGCGCGUAGGUGGGUAUUUAAGUUGGAUGUGAAAGCCCUGGGCUUAACCUAGGAAUUGCAUACAAAACUGGAUAUCUGGAGUACUGUAGAGGGUAGUGGAAUUUCCGGUGUAGCGGUGAAAUGCGUAGAGAUCGGAAGGAACACCAGUGGCGAAGGCGGCUACCUGGACAGAUACUGACACUGAGGCGCGAAAGCGUGGGGAUCAAACAGG